Molecule: long non-coding RNA, 563 nt
Filed under: Marmota monax (woodchuck)
Lineage: Eukaryota; Metazoa; Chordata; Mammalia; Rodentia; Sciuridae
Source: RNAcentral
CUCUAACAGAUUCCACUGCUCCUAUUCCCGCCAUCUUUCCUCUACCCCAGGGCCCUCGGGCUGCCGAAACUGUAGACUGCAGUGCCCAGCUUCUCAGUUUAGCUUGGGGGUGGAGAGAAAAGGCCUUCUGGUUGGAAGGUCUCAGGGGAAAUGCACCUAGCAAAUUAAGGUGUAAACCUGCCUAUGAUGAGAUGAACAGUUGAAUACCCAUUAUAGUAAAAGGGAAAAAAGAAAGGAACAUAGGAGUCCAACGAGAAGAGAAAUUCAGGCCAUGAGGAAACAUUACUCAGACAAUACCCAUUAACCAAAUAGUGCUUCAUGUUUUAUAAAAACUUAAAUUAUUUGAGUAAACCAAGUGCUCACAGAGGUGAUCCAACCACAUAACUGUAACCAAGAAUGAAAAGCUAAGGAAACAAAUUGAAGCCUGGUGCAUGGUGCACACCUGUAAUCCCAGAGACUUGGCAGGCUGAGGCAGGAGGAUCUCAAGUUCAAGGCCAACCUCAGCAACUUAGCCAGAUCCUGUCUUGAAGGGAAGAAAAAAAGAAAUUUUAGACAAAAACCAU